Molecule: ribosomal RNA, 443 nt
Filed under: uncultured bacterium
Lineage: Bacteria
Description: partial 16S ribosomal RNA
Rfam family: Bacterial small subunit ribosomal RNA
Source: RNAcentral
CCUACGGGAGGCAGCAGUGGGGAAUAUUGGGCAAUGGAGGCAACUCUGACCCAGCAACGCCGCGUGAAUGAUGAAGGUCUUCGGAUUGUAAAGUUCUGUGAUGGGGGAUGAACACAAUGACGGUACCCCAAUAGCAAGCCACGGCUAACUACAUGCCAGCAGCCGCGGUAAUACGUAGGUGGCAAGCGUUAUCCGGAAUGACUGGGCGUAAAGGGUGCGUAGGUGGUUUAGUAAGUUGGCGGUGUAAUUCCGGGGCUCAACCUCGGCGCUACCGCCAAAACUAUUAGACUAGAGUGCAGGGGGGGUAAGUGGAAUUCCUAGUGUAGCGGUGGAAUGCGUAGAUAUUAGGAGGAACAUCAGGGGCGAAGGCGACUUACUGGACUGUAACUGACACUGAGGCACGAAAGCGUGGGGAGCAAACAGGAUUAGAUACCCCGGUAGUC